Molecule: non-coding RNA, 456 nt
Organism: Pogona vitticeps (central bearded dragon)
Lineage: Eukaryota; Metazoa; Chordata; Lepidosauria; Squamata; Agamidae
Source: RefSeq, a predicted model, not a curated record
CUUUAGGACAUCCGGCUCGCCCAGCCCGGUGUCGUAAAGGCGGUCGGGUCUCGGUCCAGGGUUGGAGCAGCUAUGGCGGCGCUUUGCGGGGCUGCCCGAAGGUGGGGUGCCGGCACUUGGCUGCGGCCCAGCGGUGAGACAACUUUGAUGGUGACAUAUGAGGAAAGUUGAUCAAUGAAGACCUCCCUCGUCCUCUUGAGUCUUGUUGUAACAAGAGACAGACCAGUCUGCAAACUGAACUGUGGCUAAUUUGGCCUGAAUCUGCCAAAGACAAGUCCCCGUCCAAAUUGGUGCUAAUGAUGCCCUGCUGUGUCUGCAUAGUAGUCAAGAAAAGCAUUACAAAAUGAUGACCUGGGAACAGUUUUUGAAGUUAUACAUGCUCAGAUAUGGUUUCUAUAGGGUAGGCCUGAGAAUCAAACUUUUCAAAAUUGAAUGCUUCAGUAAAGAAUCGAGUCU